CUUGUUUAUCAAAAACAUGUCCUUUUGAAUUUAUUUAAGGUCUAGUCUGCCCACUGAAUUAUAUUUUAAAUGGCCGCAGUAUUUUGACUGUGCAAAGGUAGCAUAAUCAUUAGUUUUUUAAUUAAAAGCUUGUAUGAAAGGCUGGACGAGGUAAAAUCUGUCUCUAUUUAAAUUAUAAUAGAAUUUAACUUUUGAGUUAAAAGGCUCAAAUUUAAUUAAAAGACGAGAAGACCCUAUAGAGCUUUAUAAUUUAUUUAAUAGAAUUAAUUUAGAAAUAUUUAUAUUUUUUUAAAUAAAAUUAUUUUAUUGGGGUAAUAGAAAGAUUAAAUUAAUUCUUUUUUUUUAUAAACAUUGAUUUAUGAAUUUUAAUGAUCCAGUUUUAUUGAUUAUAAGAUUAAGUUACCUUAGGGAUAACAGCGUAAUUUUUUUAGAGAGUUCUUAUCGAUAAAAAAGUUUGCGACCUCGAUGUUGGAUUAAAGAUUAUUUUAGGUGUAGAAGCUUAGAAUUUUGGUCUGUUCGCCAUUAAAUCUUUACAUGAUCUGAGUUCAACCCGG
RNAcentral lists this ribosomal RNA (554 nucleotides) under Calosoma scrutator. RNAcentral describes it as "partial 16S ribosomal RNA". It matches the Rfam family "Bacterial large subunit ribosomal RNA", at positions 1799 to 2619 of the family's 2925-position model. The record is from RNAcentral. Lineage: Eukaryota; Metazoa; Arthropoda; Insecta; Coleoptera; Carabidae.